AACGAACGCUGGCGGCGCGCCUAAUACAUGCAAGUCGAGCGAGAAGACGUAGCAAUACGUUUGUAAAGCGGCGAACGGGUGAGGAAUGCAUGGGUAACCUACCCUCGAGUGGGGAAUAACUAGCCGAAAGGUUAGCUAAUACCGCGUACGCUCCUUGGACUUCGGUUCAGGGAGGAAAGCGAUACCGUGGGUACCGCGCUCUUGGAUGGGCUCAUGUCCUAUCAGCUUGUUGGUGAGGUAACGGCUCACCAAGGCUUCGACGGGUAGCUGGUCUGAGAGGACGAUCAGCCACACUGGCACUGCGACACGGGCCAGACUCCUACGGGAGGCAGCAGUAAGGAAUAUUGCGCAAUGGGCGAAAGCCUGACGCAGCGACGCCGCGUGGGGGAUGAAGGUCUUCGGAUUGUAAACCCCUUUCGGGAGGGAAGAUGGAACGAGCAAUCGUUCGGACGGUACCUCCAGAAG
This 465-nucleotide ribosomal RNA is filed under the name uncultured bacterium. RNAcentral describes it as "bacterial SSU rRNA". It matches the Rfam family "Bacterial small subunit ribosomal RNA", at positions 29 to 487 of the family's 1533-position model. The record is from RNAcentral.